UACGUAGGCAGCAAGCGUUGUUCGGAGUUACUGGGCGUAAAGGGUGUGUAGGCGGUUGGAUAAGUGUGGUGUGAAAUCUCCCGGCUCAACUGGGAGGGUGCGCUACAAACUGUCUGACUCGAGUGUGGGAUGGGUAAGUGGAAUUCCACGUGUAGCGGUGAAAUGCGUAGAGAUGUGGAGGAACACCGAUGGCGAAGGCAGCCUUCUGGGCCAACACUGACGCUCAUGCACGAAAGCGUGGGGAGCAAACAGG
RNAcentral lists this ribosomal RNA (253 nucleotides) under uncultured bacterium. Its description in RNAcentral is "partial 16S ribosomal RNA". It matches the Rfam family "Bacterial small subunit ribosomal RNA", at positions 524 to 776 of the family's 1533-position model. The record is from RNAcentral.